This is a non-coding RNA of Pteropus alecto (black flying fox), 73 nucleotides long. The record is from Rfam. Lineage: Eukaryota; Metazoa; Chordata; Mammalia; Chiroptera; Pteropodidae.
AGUUCCAUAGAGUAGUGGUUAGCACGUCUGCUUUACACGCAGAAGGUCCUGGGUUUGAGCCCCAGCGGAGCCA